AUUGAACGCUGGCGGCACGCCUAACACAUGCAAGUCGAGCGGUAACAUGAACUGUAGCAAUACAGUUUGAUGACGAGCGGCGGACGGGUGAGGAACACGUAGGAACCUGCCCAAGAGAGGGGGACAACCAAGGGAAACUUUGGCUAAUACCGCAUAAUCUCUUAGGAGAAAAGUUGCCCGCAAGGUGGCGCUUUUGGAGGGGCCUGCGUCCGAUUCGUUAGUUGGUGAGGUAAUGGCUCACCAAGACGAUGAUCGGUAACUGGUCUGAGAGGACGACCAGUCACACUGGGACUGAGACACGGCCCAGACUCCUACGGGAGGCAGCAGUGGGGAAUCUUGGACAAUGGGGGCAACCCUGAUCCAGCGAUGCCGCGUGGGUGAAGAAGGCCUUCGGGUUGUAAAGCCCUUUAGGCUGGGAAGAAGGAUGUGAGGUGAAUACCCUCAUAUUUUGACUGUACCAGCAGAAUAAGCACCGGCAAACUCUGUGCCAGCCGCCGCCGUAA
This 503-nucleotide ribosomal RNA is filed under the name uncultured bacterium. Its description in RNAcentral is "partial 16S ribosomal RNA". It matches the Rfam family "Bacterial small subunit ribosomal RNA", at positions 30 to 523 of the family's 1533-position model. The record is from RNAcentral.